AAUUUUGUACAAUGGGGGAAACCCUGAUCCAGCCAUCCCGCGUGUAUGAUGAAGGCCUNCGGGUUNUNAAGAACUUUUGGCAGAGNCAAAAAGGUAUCUCCUAAUACGAGAUACUGCUGACGGUAUCUGCAGAAUAAGCACCGGCUAACUACGUGCCAGCAGCCGCGGUAAUCCGUAGGGUGCAAGCGUUAAUCGGAAUUACUGGGCGUAAAGCGUGCGCAGUCGGUUCGGAAAGAAAGCUGUGAAAUCCCUGGGCUUAAACUUGGAACUGCAUUUUUAACUGCCGAGCUAGAGUAUGUCAGAGGGGGGUAGAAUUCCACGUGUAGCAGUGAAAUGCGUAGAUAUGUGGAGGAAUACCGAUGGCGAAGGCAGCCCCCUGGGAUAAUACUGACGCUCAGACACGAAAGCGUGGGGAGCAAACAGG
RNAcentral lists this ribosomal RNA (424 nucleotides) under uncultured bacterium. Its description in RNAcentral is "partial 16S ribosomal RNA". It matches the Rfam family "Bacterial small subunit ribosomal RNA", at positions 360 to 776 of the family's 1533-position model. The record is from RNAcentral.